UGGGUAGGUAAGUAAGGAGUAGGAGUUCACAAUUACCUUGAUGGCCACUUUUAAGUACACCGGCGGUUAGGCAAGUAACUGGGGGUCAGCAGACGUGAUGUGGAUCUCCCCAUCUCUGGUCUGGUGUGUCGCGGACUGGGAGGACCGCCUCGAGGAAGAAGCCCGUUGGUUUGCGCUCUCCCGAUCUCUUCCCUCUUCGGGCCCAAAGGGGUAACGGAGGCGACACCUCUCCUUAGAAGGUAGGGACCUCCUUGAUAUAUAAGUGUCUACACCGUUGGAAUGUAGUUAUCAGAGCCUUCGUUCAUCAUCAUCGUCGCCCUCGUCGCCACCGCAAGUUCCUAAGAGUAGGGAACGAUUCUAUCUAUAAUGUCCAACGUGAGUUAAUAACUCGAAACUACUUAAAGACUUCGGUCUAACAGAUGGACGGCACUUCUAGUAACUGCAAAGGUUAAUGGAAACACUUCUCAACUACAGGGAGAGACAACUAUCCGAGCUGCCCAACGUUCUCGACUUUUAAGUUAGUACAGAAAAGUUCAAUUUAUACUAUAAUGGUAGGAGAGAAUUCUUCGAGCUAAACCGAACGACACUGCCGUAUCUUAGGUAGUUGGAGCGGUUAUCGGACAACCCUUCAAGAGGUCAUGAACUCCUUGAAUCGUAAUACACCACAGGUCCGGAGUUCAGGUAACCACCACGUCGUCGACAACUAUUUUAUUUCUUUCACUUGUAUCACCCCACGGGGCUCGAGUACCUUUAUGUUGUCGGAGAGACAGCGACGGACCAACCGUGACGACUACUACUCUAGUCUUGAACCGUGCCGUAUGUGCCCCUUGUCCAAGGUGGCCCGUAUAUCGCGUGUCUCCACCUGCCGCCGCAGAAGCGUCUCCUCUUACUGCCGCCGAACGCGCUCUUGUACGACAACCUCCUCGGGCUCCUAUUGUUUAAUUCCAGUUAAACUACAAGGUUACCGAACGAUAGGACAUAGUCAUUAUGAUGUAUCGUCGUCGUGUCAACGAACGAUAGACAGUUCCGUCUCAUCUUCAACUCGGAACUCACUACAGUAAAACACACAUGGACAUGAAUAUAAAGAGGUGGCUUCGUACAAAAAGCACCUCUUUAAUAUUAAGGACAAGGAUCAGAACAGGACCAUCUAGGUACUUUCUGCGUCGUGGACAAGCAGGAAACGAUUAAGAAACCAAUAAAUUUACUUUACCGUUUGAUUUAUAUCAUGGG
Molecule: ribosomal RNA, 1230 nt
Filed under: Triticum aestivum (bread wheat)
Lineage: Eukaryota; Viridiplantae; Streptophyta; Magnoliopsida; Poales; Poaceae
Description: partial small subunit ribosomal RNA
Source: RNAcentral